Molecule: non-coding RNA, 1003 nt
Organism: Camellia sinensis
Lineage: Eukaryota; Viridiplantae; Streptophyta; Magnoliopsida; Ericales; Theaceae
Source: RefSeq, a predicted model, not a curated record
UUGCAACCAGUCACUGCACUCUCUCUCUCUGUAUCCCCGAUCUUUCUUCUUUCUUGUUUUUGCUUUUGUUGUUUAUGAAUGAUCCUAAUCCCAAGUAUACUUCUCCUAAUCCUGCUCAAGAUGUAUCACCAAAUUCAAAUUUGGUAAAUAAGAGGGACUUUUUGUGCUCCAAUGGUUUAAUCAAAACGAUAUCAAAUUGAGAAAAUAGCAAAGGUUUCACCAAACUGAAGAUCUGGGUACCUUUCACCAAUUUACUGUGCAAGACUAUUGUGAGUUGACACACCGGACGACCGGUUGGACAUACGGCCAGUUGUCCCCCCGGUCAUCCAGUUACUUCAAUAAUUCCCACAAAAAUGAUACUAGAUCUGAAGAAUGGAGAUGAAGAUGAAGAAGAACAAAGGAAGACGAUCUAAUCCCUCUCUCACUCAACACAACCCAAUCAUUCAUAUCUGCUCUUUUCCACUUCUCUCUCUUCCAUCAUAUCCCUCUCUCACACAAGAUGUUGAGAUUCAUGUAGAUAAAAGAUUCGAUGCUCAUCCUCCAAUCUCUCAUUACUUGAUCGAUCUAAUCCUUUCUUGUAGUUUACGAUCCAUUCAGUGUGUUUCGUCCCUCAUAGAUCCUAAACUUUUCAUUUCUCGAAAAUUCGUCUUCCGAAGGUUUAAAAUUUGUCUAAUUCAAUUAGAUUUUGAUUGCUAGAUCGCUGUUAUUAUUAUUAUUUUUUGUGAUUGGUGUAUGCAAUUUAGAUAUUUUGGAGUUGAAUUAUUUGACUAUUAUGGAGGAUGGCGGCUACUAGGUCAUUCUCAUAACCACAUCAGCUUCUCUCUUUCUCUCUCAUUUCACCUCCUCCUCUGUUCAAGAUUUGUAUUGGGUUUUUUUUUUUCAAAUUGCCUUGCCGGUCGACCGGCAGGUCGUUCCCCCAGUCGACCGAAAUUUUGCUGAUAGUCAAAAAUAUACCGUUAGAACGCUGGAUAUCAAAUAGAGAAAUUCUUUAAAUUUUUACUCA